Molecule: unclassified non-coding RNA, 336 nt
Filed under: Hevea brasiliensis (rubber tree)
Lineage: Eukaryota; Viridiplantae; Streptophyta; Magnoliopsida; Malpighiales; Euphorbiaceae
Source: RNAcentral
GCAAUAUUAAAAUGGAGGUUAUUAAAGAGUUCCGUUGGGCAUUGCUAGUGAUGAUGGUUUUAUUAUUACAUGGAAGUUGGCACUCUUAUGGUUGUUGGGAGACUGAAAGAAUUGCUCUCUUGCAACUCCAAGCUCAUUUCAAUUAUUCUAUUCAGUUUGACUAUUAUGGUUAUUUGGGGGCCUACGAUUAUUCUGACGAUGUCAAGUGCUGUAACUGGGAAAGAGUCAGGUGCAGUGCCGCUACAGGGCAUGUUACCCAACUCUCACUUUGGGGAAUAAGAGGUUGGAAUUCCUUCGAACAUUGGUAUCUAAAUGCCUCUUUGUUUCUUCCCUUCC